GCCGCGAUAGCUCAGCCUGGGAGAGCGCCCGGCUGAAGACCGGGGUGUCGAGUGUUCAAAUCACUCUCGCGGCACCA
Molecule: transfer RNA, 77 nt
Filed under: Candidatus Bathyarchaeota archaeon
Lineage: Archaea; Thermoproteati; Candidatus Bathyarchaeota
Also listed under: 1 other name
Description: tRNA-Phe
Rfam family: tRNA
About the family: Transfer RNA (tRNA) molecules are approximately 80 nucleotides in length. Their secondary structure includes four short double-helical elements and three loops (D, anti-codon, and T loops). Further hydrogen bonds mediate the characteristic L-shaped molecular structure. tRNAs have two regions of fundamental functional importance: the anti-codon, which is responsible for specific mRNA codon recognition, and the 3' end, to which the tRNAs corresponding amino acid is attached (by aminoacyl-tRNA synthetases). tRNAs cope with the degeneracy of the genetic code in two manners: having more than one tRNA (with a specific anti-codon) for a particular amino acid; and 'wobble' base-pairing, i.e. permitting non-standard base-pairing at the 3rd anti-codon position.
Source: RNAcentral